RNA transcript from Pipistrellus kuhlii (Kuhl's pipistrelle), 2005 nucleotides. It is a transcript of the gene named t-complex 11 like 1, with no coding region annotated. Lineage: Eukaryota; Metazoa; Chordata; Mammalia; Chiroptera; Vespertilionidae. The record is from RefSeq and is a predicted model, not a curated record. The transcript is spliced from 12 exons.
UUGGAGGGGCAGAGGCUGAACCGCCCCGCCCGCCCGCCGCGCAUCUCUCCCCUCCUCCGCGGCCGGGGCGCCGGCCCAGCCAGACUCCCCGCCCCGGAGGCAGGCAGUGAGGAAACCGCCGACUCCGCCGCAGGUAAUUAUAGCGAGUGAGUCUUCUCUGAUGUGCAGAAAAGCAUCUACCAGACCUCCCACAAGCCGUUGACAUUUCUUCUGAUCUCUGGAUUAUCUUCCAGGAAAUUGAAGAAACUUAAUUGAGAAUGUCUGAAAACCUUGAAAAGUCCCAUCUAAAUGAAGCAGGAAAAUCACAGUCUAAUGAUUCUGAACAAGGCCUGGAAGAUGCCAUGGACGGUUCCGAGGUCGCUUUACAGAAAAAAAAGUCAGGCUCUCCUAGCUCCCAGAGAGUGCAAAGACCUCACUCCAGUCCUCCUCGCUUUGUGACAGUAGAAGAGCUUCUAGAGACAGCAAAAGGAGUCACUAACAUGGCUCUGGCCCAUGAAAUCGUAGUCAAUGGAGACUUCCAGAUUAAACCUGUUGCAUUACCGGAAGAUAGUUUGGAGAAGAAAGUCAAGGAGAUUGUACACAAAGCUUUUUGGGAUUGCUUGAGUGUCCAGCUAAGUGAAGACCCCCCAACCUACGACCAUGCCAUUAAACUUCUUGGUGAGAUCAAGGAGACUCUCUUAUCUUUCCUGCUGCCUGGUCACACUAGACUGAGAAACCAGAUUACGGAAGUCUUGGAUCUGGAUCUCAUAAUGCAGGAGGCAGAGAAUGGGGCCCUUGACAUUUGCAAGCUGGUUGAGUUCAUUAUUGGCAUGAUGGGAACACUGUGUGCACCUGCUCGAGAUGAGGAAGUUAAGAAGCUAAAGGACAUUAAGGAAAUAGUGCCCCUUUUCAGGGCGAUUUUUUCUGUGUUGGACCUGAUGAAGGUGGACAUGGCAAACUUUGCUGUCAGCAGCAUCAGGCCACAUCUCAUGCAGCAGUCAGUUGAAUAUGAAAGGAAGAAGUUUCAAGAGCUUUUGGAGAAGCAGCCAAACUCCCUGGACUUUGUCACCCAGUGGUUGGGAGAAGCCGCAGAUGACCUUAUGAAUCAGAAGUAUAAAAAUGCCCUGCCGGCGGGGGGAGGGGCCGCCGGCUCAGGAGACAGCCCCAUGCCUAGCCCUGCGGCUGUCCAGAAUUACGCGUACCUGAAGCUUCUGAAGUGGGACCACCUCCAGCAGCCUUUCCCUGAGACAGUGCUGAUGGACCAGGCCCGCUUCCGAGAGCUGCAGCUCCAGCUGGAACACCUGACUGUCCUGGGGGCGGUGCUGCUGGUCACCUUCAGCAUGGCCGCCUCAGACAUUGCCAGCCAGGCCAACUUCGCCGAGAAACUCAAGAUGAUCGUGAAGAUCCUGCUAACAGACAUGCAUCUGCCCUCCUUCCAUCUGAAGGAUGCCCUGACAACCAUCGGUGAGAAAGUCUGCUUGGAGGUGAGCAGCUGCCUUUCCCUGUGCGGGUCCACCCCCUUUUCCUCGGACAAGGAGACCGUGCUCAAGGGCCAGAUCCGGGCCGUGGCCAGUCCUGACAACCCCAUCCGCAGGAUCAUGGAGGUACGUGGAUCAGUGGUUUUGAAAAAUUAUUUUGUCCCAGUCCUGCAAUGGUCACAGUUUCACCUGUGCGUCACUCCGGAGCAGCCUCUUGAAGACAUUGCCACGCCCUGUGACCAUCAAGAUUAAUGUUAUUGAGAAGCAGGAAAGUGCCUGUAAAUAGACCCUGGCUAACGGGCUGCUCCUCAUUCUGCCAUCCUGGUUGUUUAGUAACAGCCAGUGGUAGACAUGGAGGUAGCAACCUGCCCUCACAAAGGAAUGACACCGGGAUCUCCACUUCUGGAUUGUCGAAUCCUGACCUUCUUAGAAACCUACCUUGCCUCAGGCCAUGAGAAGGCAUUGCCCACAAUACCUGGGGGAUUGGGUCCAGUCCACAAAGAGCUGGAGGAAGUUGCUAUUAAAUUUGUUCGUCUGGUCAACUAUAA